This 1107-nucleotide long non-coding RNA is filed under the name Canis lupus familiaris (dog). RNAcentral's name for it is "lncRNA (ENSCAFG00030002766.1)". The record is from RNAcentral. Lineage: Eukaryota; Metazoa; Chordata; Mammalia; Carnivora; Canidae.
AUGUGGCACCGGGACACACGGAGCCAGGCCAGCAGGACACAGGUGAUGCCCAGCGCCCCGCCAAUCCCAAGCCCUCCCCAUCCCAGUCGGCAGCCUCACCAACCGCCCGGAGCGCCUGGGAGCCACCCCAGCUCCCCCCACCCCACACCCACAUGGAGCGCACGGGGUCUGCAGGCGUCCCCAGGUUCCCGGACACUCCACACUCCCACACUGGGCAGAGUGCCCCAUGCCCCGGGCAGGACAGUCGCAGUGGGUGUCCGCUCAUCCACAGCCGGCCUCCCCGCUUCUGUCCUGUCCCCUGGAGUCUUCCCUGGAGCCAAAAUGGACCUGCUCACACCCAGGUCAGACACCCCACUCCCUGAGUGCGCCUCACCCCGCGCCUACCCAGGGACUCAGAACCCUGCAGGGCUCCCAGGGCUCCCAGCUCUCCCAGGCGAAAUCCCAGUGCAAAGGCCUGACUGUGGCCCUCAGGCCCCACCCGAUCUGGUCCUGCCCCCUCUGGUCCUCCCGACUCCCUCCGUUCCCCACCCCACCCACCUCCUGUCUGCUCCUGGUGCCCCACCUCACAGUCCUCAUCCCGGCUGCUCCCACUGCCCCAACACUGUUCCUCGAUGCUUCCACCUUCUCCCUGGGGCCUCUCCUGAGCACCCCCACCCAACAGGCCCUUCCCUGCCUUGCCUUAUUUUUCUGCAUAGCACCUUUGAAGUACUCUGUAUUACAUUAUUGUUGGCCGCCCUCCUCCUCCACGAAAAAGGACCCCCCAGGAGAGAAGAGCAGUGGGCCUCGUCCCCUGCGCCUGGGAUGGCCUGGGGCGCGCAGCCCUCGCUCCACGCAAGCCAGCAGACCGGCCCGAGGCGGCCUUGCCCUCCAAACGUGCAUCACCCAGACCACAAACACCACGCUCGCGCUUUUAAAAACCUCUCCCACGUGCAUUUAAGAGGCGGCUUCCAGGGCUUCCUUUUGAGAAGCUCCCAGUGGCUUUUUAAAGGAGAGGAGAGAGCCGUUGCUCAUUGCUCCUCUGCACCGACAGAUGCUGGGGGGGGGGGGGGGGCGGGGGGGUGUCCCAGCCGUCGCUAUGUGCCCAUGCGCGUGUGCACCUGUGCCCGU